RNAcentral lists this ribosomal RNA (269 nucleotides) under Clostridioides difficile. RNAcentral's name for it is "partial 23S ribosomal RNA". It matches the Rfam family "Bacterial large subunit ribosomal RNA", at positions 1630 to 1910 of the family's 2925-position model. Lineage: Bacteria; Bacillati; Bacillota; Clostridia; Peptostreptococcales; Peptostreptococcaceae. The record is from RNAcentral.
GGUUAAAGGUACCCGUACCGCAAACCGACACAGGUGGGUGAGGAGAGUAUCCUAAGGCCCGCGAGAGAACUGUUGUUAAGGAACUCGGCAAAAUGACCCCGUAACUUAGGGAUAAGGGGUGCCACCAGCCGGUGGCCGCAGAGAAUAGGCCCAAGCGACUGUUUACCAAAAACAUAGGUUUCUGCUAAGUCGCAAGACGAUGUAUAGGAGCUGACGCCUGCCCGGUGCUGGAAGGUUAAGGGGAUCUGUUAGAGCAAUCGAAGCAGUGA